GGGCAGGUAGAUCAGCGGUAGAUCGCGUGCUUUGCAAGCACGAAGUCGCGAGUUCAAAUCUCGUCCUGUCCA
This 72-nucleotide transfer RNA is filed under the name Methanomassiliicoccaceae archaeon. RNAcentral describes it as "tRNA-Ala". It matches the Rfam family "tRNA". From Rfam's summary of the family: Transfer RNA (tRNA) molecules are approximately 80 nucleotides in length. The record is from RNAcentral. Lineage: Archaea; Methanobacteriati; Thermoplasmatota; Thermoplasmata; Methanomassiliicoccales; Methanomassiliicoccaceae.